This 230-nucleotide unclassified non-coding RNA is filed under the name Hevea brasiliensis (rubber tree). The record is from RNAcentral. Lineage: Eukaryota; Viridiplantae; Streptophyta; Magnoliopsida; Malpighiales; Euphorbiaceae.
AAAGGUGCAAGCUCAACUCCAUCCUUACAACAAACACCACAAAUAUUAAGUUUCAUAUAUGAUCUUCAGUGAAUUUACAUGAAAUUAUACAAAAAAAUGACCCGUGUUGAAUGUUAACUUUAUGUGACGCUGCCAGUAUAACUCAAAUUAAUCAACAGACAAUUGGCACUUGAGUUGCUCAGGAAUAGAUAAGUUUAGAAAGACUCACCCCUGUUCUCUGUUGAUUUAAA